AGGUCCCAGGCACAUUGCCAAGUGGCUUACAUAUUGUCUUCUCCUAUGAUAAGUAUUUUUAGUCCUUCUUUCAUAGAUGAGUAAAUUAAGGUACAGAGAUGACAAAUAAUUGGCCCAAAUCCAAUAGCCAAGAAGUCACAAAAUCAAGAUUCACAACAGUUCCCUUUGGGUCUGAUCCUAGAGUUGUACCCUUCCCCAUUCCAUGGCAUUAGGGAGGCGGAAGGGAACUCCCUUUCUGCUUCCUGGAAUCCAGGCUGGCUUGGUGACUUGCCGACCACAGAACGCUGUGGAAGGGACAUUCUGGGGCUUCCCAUCUCCAACAUAAGAAGGCAGGACUUGCUUCUGUGAGGUACUGAGCCACCCGUCCCUGGAGGAAAGCAAGAACAGAGCAGAUCAGAGCCCAGGCAGACAUCUUGGAUGAUGGGGUACAUCUUGCCAUCCAGAGGCAAUGCUGGAGCGGGCAGUUGUCUGCGGGGAGGCCCUGGCUCACUCUGGGCCAAAUAACAGGACUGAUUGCAGCCUGCGAUGAAACAUCCUGUUUCUCCCAACCAGAAACAGGUAGAGGAGCUGCUUUAGGAUGGAAGAUGAGGCUUGCUUUUUCUUUCUCCUAGAAGUCAGCAUUUUACAUGAUUCUGGGAGGGAAGAAAGGAGACAGGAACCAAGGAGCCUGAGUGGGGAUUUGCCCACCACUGGGCAGCCAGGCUCCCGUCAGGAAGGCUUUUCAGAGGGAGUGUUGGAAGGAGUCGUCGAGGAGUCUUCCUCACCCAGGAAGUCUUCCUCACCGGGUGAGCCCCAACCUGCUGGACCUGCUCAGAAUUUGCCCAACAGGGGAUCCUGGUUGACUGAGGUCUGCUAAUUCCAACUGGCCUACGCUAAAUUCUCCCAGAAUGUCUUCAUCAUCAAUGAAUCGCUUUCCACUGACACGACGCCUGGAAGAACAUAAACACUGUGAGGAUAAAUGCCAAUGAAAUAAUAAUAAAAUAAACUUUCUUUGGUGGCCAGAGGGAAACAGAA
This 1014-nucleotide long non-coding RNA is filed under the name Homo sapiens (human). RNAcentral's name for it is "long intergenic non-protein coding RNA 2369". Lineage: Eukaryota; Metazoa; Chordata; Mammalia; Primates; Hominidae. The record is from RNAcentral.